This 64-nucleotide transfer RNA is filed under the name Burkholderia multivorans. RNAcentral's name for it is "tRNA-Arg". It matches the Rfam family "tRNA". From Rfam's summary of the family: Transfer RNA (tRNA) molecules are approximately 80 nucleotides in length. The record is from RNAcentral. Lineage: Bacteria; Pseudomonadati; Pseudomonadota; Betaproteobacteria; Burkholderiales; Burkholderiaceae.
CCGCCCAUAGAGCAACGGCCUUCUAAGCCGUAGGCCGCAGGUUCGAAUCCUGCAGGGCGGGCCA